RNAcentral lists this transfer RNA (92 nucleotides) under Micromonospora gifhornensis. RNAcentral's name for it is "tRNA-Arg". Lineage: Bacteria; Bacillati; Actinomycetota; Actinomycetes; Micromonosporales; Micromonosporaceae. The record is from RNAcentral.
GGGCGGGGUGGCUGGCGGUGGGGCGGCUGUUCCCGUCGCGGCCCGGGGAGCGGGUCGACCGGACUCCCCGGUUCGGUGCCCUGGCCUGCCUG